Molecule: RNA transcript, 3905 nt
Organism: Pipistrellus kuhlii (Kuhl's pipistrelle)
Lineage: Eukaryota; Metazoa; Chordata; Mammalia; Chiroptera; Vespertilionidae
Gene: PIGR
Gene name: polymeric immunoglobulin receptor
Exons: 12
Source: RefSeq, a predicted model, not a curated record
UAAGAACCCAGGUGUGGGCCAAGCACUGUUCAUAGUUUCAGUUUUGGCAGCAGCAUCCAGUGUCCUGUUGGCAACUCCUAGGAAGGCAGGGGUUGUGAACUAGGCAGCAGGCUGUUCCCCUGAAACGGACUCGACAGGAGAGAAGGAAGUAUCUAAAGCAUCCAAGCAAGAAAUUGGCCUGGGCCCCACAGCCCAGAGGGAGCCACCAACCAUGACGCUCUUCUUCUUCGCCUGUCUGCUGGCUGUCCUCCCAGUGGUCUCCAUGAAGAGCCCCAUCUUCGGUCCCCAGGAGGUGAGCAAAGUAGAAGGCAGCUCAGUGUCCAUCAAAUGCUUCUACCCAGCCACCUCCGUCAACCGACAUUCCAGGAAGUACUGGUGCAAGCAGGGAGCCAGGGGCCGUUGCACUACCCUCAUCUCGGACACCUACUUCUCCAAGGACUAUGAGGGCAGAGCCAACAUCACCGAUUUCCCAGAGAGCAACAUGUUCAUGGUAGACAUUGGCCAUCUCACCCAGGAUGACUCUGGGCAAUACAAGUGUGGUGUAGGCAUUGUUAACCAAGACCUGUUCUUUAAUGUGAACCUGGAGGUCAUCCCAGGUCCUGGGCUCCAUAAUGGCGUUCACUUCCAUAUAGCAGACCUGGGCAGUACAGUGAGCAUCACCUGCCCUUUCACAUCUGAGAAUUCUAUGCAGAAGAAGUCUGUGUACAAGAAGAUAGGCGAGAACUAUGACCUAGUCGUCGACACCAGUGGGUAUGAGAACUCCGACUACAGAAACAGAGUUUCUAUCACUCUUCAGGGCACCAGCGAACUGUGGUUCAACUUCAUCAUCAAACAACUCAAGCUCAGCGAUGCCGGGAAGUAUGUCUGCCAGGCUGGGGAUGAUUCUACAGGUGACAAAAGCAAUGUUGACCUCAAAGUGCUGAAGCCUGAGCCUGAGCUACUUUAUGGAGACCUGGGGGGCUCAGUGGCCUUUCACUGUGCCCUGGACCCCGAGUUGAAAAAUCUGCCCAAAUUUCUGUGCCGGGUGAGCAAAGAUAAAACCUGUGAAGUGGUCAUCAACACCCUGGGGAAGAGGGCUCAGGCCUUUGAGGGAAGGAUCCUGAUUACUCUCAAGGAUCAGGGCUUCUUCAAUGUGCAUAUUACUGGCCUGAGGAAAGAGGAUGCAGGGAGCUACUUCUGUGGAGCCCACUCUGAUGGGGAGCCUCAGGAAGGCUUGCCCAUGAAGGCUUGGCAACUCUUCGUUAAUGAAGAGACCACGAUGCCACGUAGUGUCUCUGUGAUGAAAGGUGUGGUAGGAGGCUCUGUGGCCAUGCUCUGCCCCUACCACCCUAAGGAUAAAAAUAGCCGGAAGUUCUGGUGUCGCUGGAAUGAGCAAAACAGUGGCUGCCCACAGCUGGUGAGCAGUGAGGGGCUGGUUAAGGACCAGAGCAAACCCUACGAGGGCAGGCUCGCCCUUUCCGAAGAGCCAGGCAAUGGCACCUACACGGUCAUACUCAACCAGCUCACCACCAAGGAUGCUGGCUUCUACUGGUGUCUGACCUCCGGUGAUACUCACUGGUGGUUCACAGUGGAGCUCAAGAUUGUGGAAGGAGAGCCAAACCUCAAGGCACCUGAGAAAGCCAUUGCUUUCAUUGGAGAGACUCUCACGGUGCCCUGCCACUCACCAUGCAAGUUCUUCUCCUAUGAGAAAUACUGGUGCAAGUGGAGCAGCAAAGGUUGCAAGGUCCUGCCCAGCCAAAACGAGGCCUCCAGGCAGGCCUCUGUGAACUGCGACCAGAACAACCAGCUCACCUCCCUGAUCCUGAACCAACCCACCAAGAAUGAUGAGGGCUGGUACUGGUGUGGGGUGAAGGAUGGGCCCCGAUUCGGAGACACCGUGGCUGUCUACGUGAAGGUCAAGGAGAAGGAGAAGGCAUCCCAAGAUGUCAGCCAAGUGAACGCGGAGGCUCCUGGCAAUGAGGUGAUUGAGCCACCUGUCCAGGUGAUAGAGCCACGUCUCAAGGAGGUCGAGAACAAAGUCGCUCGAGAUCCCAGCCUUUUUGCAGAGGACAAACUGGUGAAGGAUAAUGGAGACCCAGAGGACAGGAGCAAAGCAUCUGCAGACGCUGGCAGCUCUGCGGGACAAGGAGGAAGCUCCGCAGUGCUGGUCUCCACGCUGGUGCCCCUGGCCCUGGUGCUAGCCCUGGGGGCCGUGGCAGUGGCUGUGGUUAGAGCCAGGCAUAGGAGGAACGUUGAUCGCGUUUCAAUUGGAAGCUACAGGACAGACUUCAGCAUGACGGACUUGGAGAACUCCAGGGAUUUUGGAGCCAAUGACAACAUGGGAGCCUCUACCAUCACCCAGGAGACAUCUCUCGGAGGAGAAGAUGAGUUCCCGGCCACCACCGAGGACACUGUGGAGAGUGAAGAGCCCAAGAAGGCCAAGAGGUCCUCCAAGGAGGAAGCUGACAUGGCCCACACUGCCUUCCUGCUCCAGGCCAACAACAUGUCGACCACCGUCCAAGAUGGCCCCAGCGAAGUCUAGGCCAAGUGCCCUGCCUCCUCCUUCCAACUUUGACAAUCACCUUCAGAAUCAUGUUAAUCCUUAGGGCCCUCAGCUCUGGGGGGCUCACUGCCUGCAUGCAACCUCACCUAGGCUUUUCCUACCUAGUCCUUUUUCAGUGGCAUCCAAUCCUGGCUUCAUUGUUCGUGUUGGGGGUGAGAUGAUCCGAGGAGUCCCUACCUGAGGGAACUUCUUUCUAAUGAGACAACUAAGGUGUGGAAGGAGAACAAAAUUUUAAUAAAGGCCUCCUCAAAAAAAAAAAAAAAAAAAAAAAAGCUCAUGAUGUGUGGGAGGUAAUUUUGAAAAGGAAGGCCAUUCAGGGCUUCUCUGUAUCCUUAUUAUGGAAUGUCAAUGGGAUUCUCCUCUUCACUCCACCCCACCAUCUCUUAUCCCCUCCCUCCCAUCCAUUCUCUCUUCUUCUUUCCUUCAUUGAAAAUACAUAUAUGAACUCUGGCCAGGUAUCAGUUGAUUAGAGCAUCAUUCUGAUACAACAAGGUUGCAGGUUCCAUCCCUAGACAGGACACAUAUAGGAUGCAAUCAAUGGAUGCAUAAAUAAGUGGAACAAUAAAUCUAUGUUUCUCUCAAAUUGAUCAAUCAAUAAAAUUUAAAAAACACACCACACAUAUAUGUUAAUCCUCACCAGAACCCAGGCAUCUAGCGGAAUGAACAAGGAUACUGCACACCCAGCCUGCAGCCUUUGUGUAAACAUCAAUGAGUCCUUGGAGGCCACAGCUUCUCUUGGUUUAUUGUACACACUAUGACCUGAAAUCCUCAUCAGGUAUACUCACUUCUCUGACCACAUUGGGAGAAAUCAGAAAAUGUCUGGAGUCCUGAGGCUUUAGGGAUCAUGUAACAUGGGCAUAUAUACAAGUAAUCUUAAAUACACAUUCUUACAGGGUAGAAAAUUAAAGAGGUUUGCUCAGGGGCACCAAAUGAGUUACACUGAUUUGGUGACUCCUGUUUUCUUGGCCAGGGAUCUCUCUACAAGAACCCCUGCUCUCCUGAUGAAAACAGGAAUCUAGAACAAGCAGAAGGGAGUGAAGGGGUAGAGGAAGACAAAAUUGCAAAUGGAAGCUGGUCUUUCCCAAGCCCCACCUCUGGAAAGACAACCAGUUCCCUUUCUGACACUCACAUGAACCUAAGAGGAUAAGAGAAUGGUCCAACACUCACAGCCCCUAUAUUAGAAGAGCAUCAAAUGGAAGGGAAGAUAAGAGGGUAUUUUGUGGUGCCAAGGGAGGAUCUGAUCUCCAAAGAGCUAAAGUUUAAGGUCUUUUUCCCUCUGAGCUCUGCACCUCAACCAGCUGACACUUGCUAACAAAGAAAAAUGUGACUGAAUUAAUAAUUAAAGACCAUGAUUUCCACCAAA